CUAGUGACAGUGAGGAAGGGGGUGACUAGGGACAGAGUGAGGGAGGGGGUGACUAGUGACAGUCACCUCCUCCUUCACUCUGUCACUAGUCACCCCCUCCCU
RNAcentral lists this microRNA precursor (102 nucleotides) under Pelobates cultripes (western spadefoot toad). Lineage: Eukaryota; Metazoa; Chordata; Amphibia; Anura; Pelobatidae. The record is from RNAcentral.